This 1319-nucleotide long non-coding RNA is filed under the name Pan paniscus (pygmy chimpanzee). Its description in RNAcentral is "lncRNA (ENSPPAG00000044438.1)". The record is from RNAcentral. Lineage: Eukaryota; Metazoa; Chordata; Mammalia; Primates; Hominidae.
CUCCCAAUUCUGCAGGCUGCCCAGAAGCAUGGCUGGGAAGGCCUUAGGAAACUUACAAUUAUGGCAGAAGGCGAAGGGGAAGCAGGCACAUAUUCACAUGGUGACAGGAAAGAAAGAGUGAAGGGGGAGGUGCUACAUACUUUAAACAACCAGAUCUCAUGAGAACUCAACUACCAUGAGAACAGCAAGGGGGAAAUUCACCUCCAUGAUCAAAUCACCUCUCACCAGGCCCCUCCUCCAACACUGAAGAUCACAAUUCAACAUGAGAUUUGGGUGGGGACACAGAGACAAACCAUAUCAUCUUCACACUCUCAACUUUCUGUCCUUUUUAUUCUUUUUAUGGGCUUCAGAAUCAACUAAUCAGUGUUCAGUCACUUCCUUUGAAAGGCUACUACAUCAUGGUGACUUGAUCCAAACAUCGAAGCACCCUGUGACCCGCCCCCAGCACAAGCUUCACCCUGGGACAGAGCCACCAGCCAUUCAUCCCCCAGAAGACCAGACACAGCAAAGCUGCAGCCACAGCUCACAGCUAUCCCAGGAUGGGGUUAGUUGCUUUGCAAUGGGACAGAGGGUCCUCUGAGAGUGCAGGCAGAACUGUGUUUGUCAAGGGGUUUGAAGAUACCUACGUGGAUCUGGAUACAAAUGCUACUGCUGGUGAGAACAGAGCUAUGGCAUGCCUACUUCACAGUCUCUGACUUAGCCCAAGUUCUAAGGGUUGACUCUAACAGUCUUGAAAACUACUUCAGGAUACAUUUUUUCCCUUGAAACAAUGCUGUAAAUGGUGGCCAGAAUCCCAAAUACAUAUCCAAUUGUCCAUAGCAUUGAGGAGGCAUCUUUGACAAGGUGAGAAUUUUACUUGAUCGUAAAAACAUCUGUGUUGGAGUCUCAACCAAGACUCUUUCUAACUACAUUACCUUGGAUAAGUCACUUCUCUGAAUCAAAAUGAGAGUCAUGUUAAUACUCAACAGGUCUACUUCAAUUCAAUGAACCAUAUGUCAGGAAUUACAGGAGGAGCUGCAGGUUCUAAGUUUGAAGAGUAUCUUUCCCCAGGCCUGGGAAUCCAGCAGCCCUAGCUGUCUGUUGCUGGGUACCCUCAAGCAAGUUUCUCCACCUUAAAAUUCAGUAACAAUGAGAGGCAGGAUCACCCAAGCAGGCUCUAGAGUCAGACAAUUUUGGAUAAAUUCCAACUGCACCAUUUACUAAGUAUCAACUUUGAGUACAUUAAGCUCCUUCAUUUUCUGUAAGGAAAGGUAUAUUAUAAUGGCAGUUUUAUAAGAUUGCUAUGAAUAUUGAGAAUAUGCAUGUAAAUUUCUUGGCAC